Rosa chinensis is the source of this 1965-nucleotide long non-coding RNA. RefSeq lists it as uncharacterized. NCBI's taxonomy places the organism in Eukaryota, Viridiplantae, Streptophyta, Magnoliopsida, Rosales, Rosaceae. The transcript is spliced from 5 exons. The record is from RefSeq and is a predicted model, not a curated record.
GGUUUUUCUCCCUCAGAAACAGAACAACAUAUAUUGUACAGCCACGUAAUUCCAGCCAAACCUCUUAACUAACCAACAAAGUUAUGGCUGAUGCAGACUCCAUGGUAGAAAAAGAAAAAGAACUGUAUGCGUUUGAUGACCUUAAAAUACGUGUCAAAGGGCUCUCAGACUCCGGCGUGGCCAAGAUUCUCAGAAUCUUCAUCCACCCACCGGAGACUGUAAAGAACACAGCACCAGAUGAUGGUGUCAAACUUCAAAUCCCAAUUGUUGAUCUCAGAUGCAUUGCCAAUGAUCACGCUCGAGAAGGAAUAGUGAAGAAAAUUAAAGAUGCAUGUGAAACAUGGGGUUCUUUCAGAUAGUCAACCAUGGAGUUCCACUUGCUGUUAUGGAGGAGAUGCUUCAAGGAAUUUGUAGAUUUCAUGAGCAGCCUGCAGAAGACAAGAUGGAGUUGUACUCUCGUGACUUCAAGAAUCCGGUCAACUUUUAUUGCAGUGGAGAUCUGAAAGUGCGUACAAAAUCAGCAGUAGACUGGAGAGACACCUUAUUCUGCAGAGAAGUAGAUGAUGAAUGGGAUUUUGAAGCACUGCCUCAAGUCUGCAGUUCUGCAGGACGAGAUUGGGGGCCUCCAAGUUCUCCAUAAAGAUCAAUUGGUUGAUGUGCCACCAGUGAAUGGAGCUUUUGUAGCAAAUCUCGGUGACUUUGUGCAGUGUUUUAAAACACGCGCGUCAGGCGCGCCUUCAAGCGCAAAAGGCGUGAGGCGUGAAGAAAAGUGAGUCCGUUUUCCAGAUGAGGCGCAGAGGCGCAGCAGGUGGAGAUGGAGGCGUGGAAGGCGGAGAAAGCGCGCCUUAAGGCGUGCUGCGCGUACGCCUGAAAGUUUUUUUUUUUUUUUUUUAACACACCAAAACGACGUCGUUUUGGUGUUUUGAGGGUUGAUAUUCAUUUAGGUCGCGUAUUAUGCCCGAGCGAAGCCCCAAAUCCCUCAACAGCCUCCUCCAGCCUCCUCCCGACUCUUCACUCUGAAGACCCAAUCCCUUACUCGAAAAGUUAAUCAUGAAGAGCAAUAAUAUGUUUUUUGAAGAAUUGGAACAAGAAGGAGAUCGAUCGAAAGAGGCGAAUUGGAGCUCCGGUUAUAGAAUCCGAUCGGCGAGUUUAGUGUUGAAUUCGGAUCGGCAGUGGAGACCAUGAAAAUCGUUGUGUGAAAAGGAAGUUGCUGUUGGAAGCCCUUGCAAGUGAACUUCCUGCUGGUGCAUCUUGCUGACGGAACCAUCCUCAAAGCCAAGGAGCCUAAAAACAGCUGAUUACUAAUAACAAGUUCAAUAGUGUGCAACAUAGAGUGCUUGCUACCUCGCAUGUCAAGCCACGAAUAUCAGUUGUGUCUUUCUUCGUUCCUAUGAAUGGUGACAAACGUGUCAGGCGUUAAGGAUCUAUAAAGUAGCUUCUUAUACUCACCUAUAUGAGAGCCAUGCUAUCCAAAUUCCAGAUUUUCUUGGAUUUUAUUGGUCUUGAUCAUUGAGGCACAUAUUCGUUCUAGCUCUGUUUGGAGUACAACAUUGCUUGAUUCCAUCAACUAUGGAAGUUGGGUUCUCAGAAAGGGUUUUGGGUGGUUCAAGAUGGGGUUUUGGGGUUGUGAAAUAGUCGACGGUGGUUGAAUAUCUAACACGAUUCAAAAAAAAGAGGUGACACAUGGAAGAAGAACCCGACCGCCACUAAAGUAAAGAGUAGAGGGAGGGUUAGAGAAGGAAUAUAAUAUUUUUUUUUUCAUUGAUCACGUCCUAAUCAAUGUUAGAGUGUUUCUAUUCAUACCUCUAAAAUGAUGAUUGGACCUCUAUAUUUUCUCAAAUGAUAGUUGACUUUAUCAACUCAUAUAAAAUUACCAAUGAGAACAAAAGAAAAUAGAACAAAAUGUUCAAGUAAAUCCAGAAUAUGUGUCUAGCCCAAACUCUAGGUUACUUAACCUAGUUGUAA